CUUAGAGACUAACAAAUUUAUUUGAGCAUAAGCUUUCAUGGGCUACAGCCCAUUUCUUUGGAUGCCACAAGUACUACUGUUCUUUUUGCGGAUACAGACUAACACGGCUGCUGCUCUGAAACCUAUUUAGAUAAUGUUACUGUUGUGUCUUUGUCGUGGUAACAGUUACAUCGUUUUUUCCUUGUAUUCCUCUGUCUGUCUGUAUAGAUCUGUUGUCUCUUGUUAUGUACUAGACUGUGAGCUUUUUCGGGUACAAACUGUCUAUUUGUUGUGUGUUUGUACAGCACCUGGCGCAAUAGGGUCCUGCUCCAGGACUGGGGCUCUACGGCUUGACCAUAACACAAACAAUAAAUAAAUAAGAAACUGCAGCACAAACAGGAGACACUUUGUACUAUGUCCUGCGAUGCCCUGCCCAGAAUGUAAACAAUGUAAUUUAGAAAAUAUUCAAAACAACAUUUAUUCUGCAGUAUUUUCAUUUUUAUAUUUUCCAAAGAAUUUUCAUUUUGAAAAUUAUUUGCUUGUGUGAAAAAAUUUCCUUAAGUUGAAACGGCACUGUCCAAAGGAAACAUAUUUUGUUGUAGAAUUUUACGUACCUGGCUCGAUGCAGGAAGCCAAACUGUCUGGAUAGAAUGGGCCCUGCUGGCCUUUGAACCUGUGAUGCUAUCCUAGGGUUCCCUAUCUGAGUACACGCAUACACGCACGACCCCACACACAAGCUGCCUGUAUUCCCUGCCUGCCUGAGCUGGGGUUCCUGCUCGAGCAGAGAGUGCUCUUAUCUGUCUCUGUGGAUUCAGGGUUGUCACCGUUGGAUUGUGCCUACCCCUCCUUCCACUGGUUGUCACACUUCCCCAUCAUCUCCUCCCCAGCAGAGAGGGACCUUUGUACCAAGCCCUGGGGCUCGCUGACCACACCCUUAUUGCAUCUUUUCUCUUCCCCAUGGGCAGGUUUUCCGGUUCGCAAACCAGCCCUGAUCUCUCAGCUGGAGCGACGGGAGGAGCCGUGCAUCCUAGAUCCCGCAGCCUCUGAGGAGCAGGAGACCCAGAGGGAUGUCCCAGCAGGCACCGGCAGGGGGCUGGGCGCUGAGGAGCUGGCUGUGCAGCACCACGGGGAGGCGCAGG
Molecule: long non-coding RNA, 1118 nt
Filed under: Gopherus evgoodei (Goodes thornscrub tortoise)
Lineage: Eukaryota; Metazoa; Chordata; Testudines; Testudinidae
Description: lncRNA (ENSGEVG00005000546.1)
Source: RNAcentral